UACGUAGGGUGCGAGCGUUAAUCGGAAUUACUGGGCGUAAAGCGUGCGCAGGCGGUUCGUUAAGUCAGAUGUGAAAGCCCCGGGCUCAACCUGGGAACUGCAUUUGAAACUGGCGGGCUUGAGUGUGGCAGAGGGGGGUGGAAUUCCGCGUGUAGCAGUGAAAUGCGUAGAGAUGCGGAGGAACACCGAUGGCGAAGGCAGCCCCCUGGGCCGACACUGACGCUCAUGCACGAAAGCGUGGGGAGCAAACAGG
Molecule: ribosomal RNA, 253 nt
Filed under: uncultured bacterium
Lineage: Bacteria
Description: partial 16S ribosomal RNA
Rfam family: Bacterial small subunit ribosomal RNA
Source: RNAcentral